RNAcentral lists this ribosomal RNA (254 nucleotides) under uncultured bacterium. Its description in RNAcentral is "partial 16S ribosomal RNA". It matches the Rfam family "Bacterial small subunit ribosomal RNA", at positions 524 to 776 of the family's 1533-position model. The record is from RNAcentral.
UACGUAGGGUCCGAGCGUUGUCCGGAUUUAUUGGGCGUAAAGAGCUCGUAGGCGGUUCCGUAAGUCAGAUGUGAAAACUCAGGGCUCAACCCGGAGACGCCAUCUGAUACUGCGGUGACUGGAGUCUGGUAGGGGAUCACGGAAUACCUGGUGUAGCGGUGAAAUGCGCAGAUAUCAGGUGGAACACCGAUGGCGAAGGCAGUGAUCUGGGCCAGUACUGACGCUGAGGAGCGAAAGCGUGGGGAGCGAACAGG